CCAGCUUGCUGGAUGCUGACGAGCGGCGGACGGGUGAGUAAUGCAUAGGAAUCUGCCCGAUAGUGGGGGAUAACCUGGGGAAACCCAGGCUAAUACCGCAUACGUCCUACGGGAGAAAGGGGGCUCCGGCUCCCGCUAUGGGAUGAGCCUAUGUCGGAUUAGCUAGUUGGUGAGGUAACGGCUCACCAAGGCCACGAUCCGUAGCUGGUCUGAGAGGAUGAUCAGCCACAUCGGGACUGAGACACGGCCCGAACUCCUACGGGAGGCAGCAGUGGGGAAUAUUGGACAAUGGGGGAAACCCUGAUCCAGCCAUGCCGCGUGUGUGAAGAAGGCCCUCGGGUUGUAAAGCACUUUCAGCGAGGAAGAACGCCUAGCGGUUAAUACCCGCUAGGAAAGACAUCACUCGCAGAAGAAGCACCGGCUAACUCCGUGCCAGCAGCCGCGGUAAUACGGAGGGUGCAAGCGUUAAUCGGAAUUACUGGGCGUAAAGCGCGCGUAGGUGGCUUGAUAAGCCGGUUGUGAAAGCCCCGGGCUCAACCUGGGAACGGCAUCCGGAACUGUCAAGCUAGAGUGCAGGAGAGGAAGGUAGAAUUCCCGGUGUAGCGGUGAAAUGCGUAGAGAUCGGGAGGAAUACCAGUGGCGAAGGCGGCCUUCUGGACUGACACUGACACUGAGGUGCGAAAGCGUGGGUAGCAAACAGGAUUAGAUACCCUGGUAGUCCACGCCGUAAACGAUGUCGACCAGCCGUUGGGUGCCUAGCGCACUUUGUGGCGAAGUUAACGCGAUAAGUCGACCGCCUGGGGGAGUACGGGCCGCAAGGGUUAAAACUCAAAUGAAAUUG
This 841-nucleotide ribosomal RNA is filed under the name Vreelandella aquamarina. Its description in RNAcentral is "bacterial SSU rRNA". It matches the Rfam family "Bacterial small subunit ribosomal RNA", at positions 75 to 913 of the family's 1533-position model. Lineage: Bacteria; Pseudomonadati; Pseudomonadota; Gammaproteobacteria; Oceanospirillales; Halomonadaceae. The record is from RNAcentral.